RNAcentral lists this ribosomal RNA (513 nucleotides) under uncultured Glomus. Its description in RNAcentral is "SSU rRNA". It matches the Rfam family "Eukaryotic small subunit ribosomal RNA", at positions 569 to 1082 of the family's 1831-position model. Lineage: Eukaryota; Fungi; Glomeromycota; Glomeromycetes; Glomerales; Glomeraceae. The record is from RNAcentral.
AGCAGCCGCGGUAAUUCCAGCUCCAAUAGCGUAUAUUAAAGUUGUUGCAGUUAAAAAGCUCGUAGUUGAAUUUCGGGAUCAAUACGUCGGUCGUGCUUUCGGGUACGUACUGGCGUCAUUGGUUUCUCCUUUCUGACGAACCAUGAUGUCAUUAAUUUGGUGUUAUGGGGAGUUAGGACUGUUACUUUGAAAAAAUUAGAGUGUUUAAAGCAGGCAUUAGCUUGAAUACAUUAGCAUGGAAUAAUGAAAUAGGACGUUCGAUCCUAUUUUGUUGGUUUCUAGGAUCAACGUAAUGAUUAAUAGGGAUAGUUGGGGGCAUUAGUAUUCAAUUGUCAGAGGUGAAAUUCUUGGAUUUAUUGAAGACUAACUACUGCGAAAGCAUUUGCCAAGGAUGUUUUCAUUAAUCAAGAACGAAAGUUAGGGGAUCGAAGACGAUCAGAUACCGUCGUAGUCUUAACCAUAAACUAUGCCGACUAGGGAUCGGAUGAUGCUAAUUUUUUAAUGACUCAUUCG